Molecule: non-coding RNA, 206 nt
Organism: Oryza glumipatula
Lineage: Eukaryota; Viridiplantae; Streptophyta; Magnoliopsida; Poales; Poaceae
Source: Rfam
AAAAAGACAAACCCCGGAUUUCCGUGUCCAACAUUUAACUGUCCGUUUUAUAUGAAAUUUUUUAUAAUUAGUAUUUUCAUUGUUGUUAGAUGAUAAAACAUGAUUAAUACUUUAUGCGUGACUUGUCUUUUUAAUUUUUUUCAUAAUUUUUUCAAAUAAGACGGACGGUCAAACGUUGGACACGGAAACCCAGGGUUUGUCUUUUU